AUCUUUUCUUGUUAGUUUUUGAAGUAUGGCCUGCCCACUGACGUUGGUUGAAGGGCCGCGGUAUUUUGACCGUGCAAAGGUAGCGUAAUCAUUAGUUCUUUAAUUGUGAUCUGGUAUGAAUGGCUUGACGAGGCAUGGGCUGUCUUGGAUGUGAAUUUAUUUAUUGAAUUUGGUUUUUGAGUUAAAAUUCUUAGAUGUUUUUAUGGGACGAGAAGACCCUAUAGAGUUUGACAUUAGGUUUACUCUUGUUUGAUGUUUGUUUUGUAUUGUUUUGUAUUCUUAUUGUUUUGUUGGGGUGAUGGGAGGAAUAUUUUUAACUCCUCUUUUUGUUUGGUAUAUUUAUUUAUAUUUAUUUUG
Molecule: ribosomal RNA, 357 nt
Filed under: Microtermes obesi
Lineage: Eukaryota; Metazoa; Arthropoda; Insecta; Blattodea; Termitidae
Description: partial large subunit ribosomal RNA
Source: RNAcentral